AGAGUUUGAUCAUGGCUCAGGACGAACGCUGGCGGUGUGCUUAACACAUGCAAGUCGAACGGAAUCCAUGGUGUAGCAAUACACCGGAAGAUUUAGUGGCGAACGGGUGAGGAUCACGUGAGAAACCUGCCCCAGACUUUGGGAUAACAAUUGGAAACGAUUGCUAAUACCGGCCGACGUCGGAGAACCGCAUGGUUCACUGACGAAAGGAAAUCCGGUUUGGGAGGGUCUCGCGGCCUAUCAGCUUGUUGGUGGGGUAAUGGCCUACCAAGGCAACGACGGGUAGCUGGUCUGAGAGGAUGAUCAGCCACACUGGGACUGAGACACGGCCCAGACUCCUAGGAGGCAGCAGUGGGGAAUCUUGCGCAAUGGGCGAAAGCCUGACGCAGCAACGCCGCGUGCGGGAUGACGGCCUUCGUGGUUGUAAACCGCUUUCAGCAGGGACGAAAAUGACGGUACCUGCAGAAGAAGCCCCGGCUAACUACGUGCCAGCAGCCGCGGUAAUACGUAGGGGGCAAGCGUUGUCCGGAUUCAUAUUGGGCGUAAAGAGCUCGUAGGCGGUUUAGUAAGUCGGGUGUUAAAACUCUGGGCUCAACCCGGAGAGGCCAUCCGAUACUGCUGUGACUUGAGUUCAGGAGGGGAGCGGGGAAUUCCUAGUGUAGCGGUGAAAUGCGCAGAUAUUAGGAGGAACACCGGUGGCGAAGGCGCCGCUCUGGACUGAAACUGACGCUGAGGAGCGAAAGCAUGGGUAGCAAACAGGAUUAGAUACCCUGGUAGUCCAUGCCGUAAACGGUGGGCACUAGGUGUGGGUUCCAACUAACGGGAUCCGCGCCGUCGCUAACGCAUUAAGUGCCCCGCCUGGGGAGUACGGUCGCAAGACUAAAACUCAAAGGAAUUGACGG
RNAcentral lists this ribosomal RNA (902 nucleotides) under uncultured Actinomycetes bacterium. RNAcentral describes it as "bacterial SSU rRNA". It matches the Rfam family "Bacterial small subunit ribosomal RNA", at positions 8 to 916 of the family's 1533-position model. Lineage: Bacteria; Bacillati; Actinomycetota; Actinomycetes. The record is from RNAcentral.